UUUUUCCCUUCAGCCAGCAUUAGGGUUUUAAACCCUAAACUGAGCUUUUCCAUUCAAUCAGCAUUAGGGUUUUAAACCCUAAACUGAAUUUUUCCUUUAGUCAGCAUUUGGGUUUUAAACCCUAAACUGAAGUUUUUUCCAUUCAGCCAGCAUUAGGGUUUUAAACCCUAAACUGAGCUUUUCCAUGCAAUCAGCAUUAGAGUUUUAAACCCUAAACUAAAUUUUUCCUUUAGUCAGCAUUAGGGUUUUAAACCCUAAACUGAAUUUUUUUCCAUUCAGCCAGCAUUAGGGUUUUAAACCCUAAACUGAGCUUUUCCAUGCAAUCAGCAUUAGGGUUUUAAACCCUAAACUGAAUUUUUCCUUUAGUCAGCAUUAGGGUUUUAAACCCUAAACUGAAUUUUUUUCCAUUCAGCCAGCAUUAGGGUUUUAAACCCUAAACUGAGCUUUUCCAUGCAAUCAGCAUUAGGGUUUUAAACCCUGAACUGAAUUUUUCCUUUAGUCAGCAUUAGGGUUUUAAACCCUAAACUGAACUUUUUUCCAUUCAACCAGCAUUAAGAUUUUAAACCCUAAACUGAGCUUUUCCAUGCAAUCAGCAUUAGGGUUUUAAACCCUGAACUGAAUUUUUCCUUUAGUCAACAUUAGGGUUUUAAACCCUAAACUGAAUUUUUUCCUUUCAGCCAGCAUUAGGGUUUUAAACCCUAACUGAGCUUUUCCAUGCAAUUAGCAUUAGGGUUUUAAACCCUAACUGAGCUUUUCCAUGCAAUCAGCAUUAGGGUUUUAAACCCUAAACUGAACUAUUUCCAUUCAGCCAGCAUUAGGGUUUUAAACCCUAAACUGAGCUUUUUCCAUGCAUGUCAGCAUUAGGGUUUUAAACCCUAAACUGAAUUCUUUCCUUUAGUCAGCAUUAGGGUUUUUAAACCCUGAACUGAACUUUUUCCUUUAAUCAGCAUUAGGGUUUUAAACCCUAAACUGAACUUUUCCCCAGUUGGUCAGUAUUAGAGUUUCAACUCUAAACUGAACCUUUCCCCAGCUAGUCGAUAUUAGGGCUCCAACCCUGAACUGAGCAUGCAUUCCUCUUUCAUCAAUUUUAUGAACUUCCUGGCGAAUAAUUCACGAAAGUUUCCUAGUGAAACUGGGGCAGAAAAUUUCGUUCAUUUGUUUUUCCCGUAGGUCUAACCUCGAGCCACACGGAUCGAAACGACCCACAAGAUGAGUGUCAACUCAGAAUCUAAGAAGAAAAAGAAAAAAAAAGAUGUCCCGAGACACCGGAGAAAGUGGAAGGCGGAUCGCUCCAAGAUUUGAUCAAGGUCCCGAGUUCUACCAACCCCGUCAUAUUCAGUAUCGCAGAAAUAAAUAGGCGCCUCCAACUUGCAAGCAUCAAGAUUCAGAUCGGAGUCUACAAGCAGAAUCAGCUAAGACCCAAGAUCAGGUCGCAAAAGAAUCAUAGAUAGGAAUCUUGUAACUAGCAGUUGACAUGCAUAUAAGUGUUUAGUUCAGUUUCAAUUUUCCUUUGGUUGUAAUAAGGCGGUCAGUGACACAGCAGUGACAACAGCAACAAUAGUAACAUCGGGCAUUGCAAUCCCAUGGUAGUCCCAACUACCAAAGCUUCUCGAACUACAUUGACCUGAUUCCUGUUCAGCCCAGGAUAUGUAGGAAAUCUUUGAAGCAAGAUUCGGU
This 1677-nucleotide long non-coding RNA is filed under the name Nicotiana tabacum (common tobacco). RNAcentral describes it as "long non-coding RNA (NTAB_LNC013184)". Lineage: Eukaryota; Viridiplantae; Streptophyta; Magnoliopsida; Solanales; Solanaceae. The record is from RNAcentral.